CCUACGGGGGGCAGCAGUGGGGAAUAUUGGACAAUGGGGGCAACCCUGAUCCAGCCAUGCCGCGUGUGUGAAGAAGGCCCUCGGGUUGUAAAGCACUUUCAGUGAGGAAGAACGCCUGGUGGUUAAUACCCAUCAGGAAAGACAUCACUCACAGAAGAAGCACCGGCUAACUCCGUGCCAGCAGCCGCGGUAAUACGAGGGUGCGAGCGUUAAUCGGAAUUACUGGGCGUAAAGCGCGCGUAGGUGGCUUGAUAAGCCGGUUGUGAAAGCCCCGGGCUCAACCUGGGAACGGCAUCCGGAACUGUCUAGCUAGAGGGCAUGAGAGGAAAGUAGAAUUCCCGGUGUAGCGGUGAAAUGCGUAGAUAUCGGGAGGAAUACCAGUGGCGAAGGCGGCCUUCUGGACUGACACUCACACUGAGGUGCGAAAGCGUGGGUAGCAAACAGGAUUAGAUACCCUAGUAGUC
RNAcentral lists this ribosomal RNA (464 nucleotides) under Vreelandella stevensii. RNAcentral describes it as "partial 16S ribosomal RNA". It matches the Rfam family "Bacterial small subunit ribosomal RNA", at positions 338 to 795 of the family's 1533-position model. The record is from RNAcentral. Lineage: Bacteria; Pseudomonadati; Pseudomonadota; Gammaproteobacteria; Oceanospirillales; Halomonadaceae.